AUGAUGUCAUCAAAAUGGGCCCUGGCAUGAUGUGCUUGAGAACAAUGCCUAGCUUGGGGGGAAUUGUCGAUUUAGUAAGCAGUGAAGCAUGACAACUCCACUACAGGCAGUGCAUAAUUCCCAGCGACCCAGGGAGAGGACGUCUUAAAAAGAGAGGGGAAAAGUGAAAAGUGGAAGAAGAACACCGCAGUCUCCAAAUGCAAGAUCUAGGGCGUGUGAAGCGCAGCACCAGUUUCGAGCUCCUGCCACCUGACAGUUGAUAAUGGAUGACUGGUCCAAUUAAAAAAGAUCUGACUUUACUGUGUCAGAGCUGAGGGUCAUCCCGCUGGGGAACAACUGUUCCGAGAGGAGUUCAGUAGGGAACGUCAUACUGGGAGGGACCAAGUUCAACACUGAGGAAGAACCAGACGACUGUCAGAGAGUCACGGGAAAGGUGGAGGAGAAAGAAGUAGUUCUCAUCAACACCCAAGAUCGGUUAGAUCCUGACAUGUCUGAAGGCAGACAAAAACAACAUGUAGAUGACUGUGUGCAACUCUCUGCUCCUGGACCUCAUGUGUUCCUGCUGGUCCUAUAGCCUGAAGACUUCACUGUGAAGCAGAGAGAGAGGAUCUGCACAGUCCUUCAACUCUUUGGUGAUGAAUCAUUUGAUCACUCACUGGUGCCCUCUCCUGUGUUUGUGAUGCUGUAUCCAGCAGGCGGAGCUCUAGCACCAGUUCCCUAACUGUUGGACCCCAAGUCUGCUGACUUCAUUAAUACUGUGCUGUGGGUUUUACUGCAUCACCAGGUACUGCUGAGGAUCACAGAGAGCCUCAGGAUCACCUUUUUUUUUUACCACAGGCUUGAUGUUGCUACAGUGGCUCUAUGUGUUUGUUUGACCUGAUUGUGCAGGCUUGUGGUCCAAUAACCAGAACCUGUGUUUCUGAUGAACGAAACUGAAAGAAAUAUGAGGACAUCCAGUCCUUCACAUCUGCUGACAUGGACCAGAGGUUUGCAGCUUUAUGAGGAGAUAUAUCUGGAUAUCAUGUAACAGUGACAGCAGCAGUGUCUCUGUGUAUAAUAUGACAGAGGGAAGGCAAAUAAGAUUCUUCUUAAAGUUGGAACCAAGGCCCUGGCCCUGUUACUGGGGCUGGAGGGGUUACACUGUCACUAAACACUAAAACUGUGAUGGAACAAACAGGAGAAAACACCAGUGUACAAAAUGUUCUGUAAAACCUACUGCUGAACUCUGUUGAUGAUAAUCAACUGCAUCAAAAGCUGCUGCAGUAAAACAAAAAUGAAGCCAUCUGAAUCAUCUGCAUUCAUUAAUAUCAGGCCAUUUGUAACUGGGAGAGCUCCAGUUUGUGUUUUUUUACACCUCCAGAAACUGGAAAGGAGCCAUUGUUUUGUCAGUUUUGGCAGCAAACAGGUUUGGAAACUGAUGUAAUUAACUAACUAACUAACUGACCUAAUUUAUCCACUCAGCUCAAAAUUUCAAUUCAAUUCAGUUUUAAUUGUAUAGUGCCAAAUUACAACAAAAAUCAUCUCAGGACAAUUUACAUACAGUAUUAUGCUUUGAAGUAGUGUAUUGUGGUAUUCCUGCCACAUCUUGCUAAAUGGGAGCAUCCCACAAGGCUUCAUUUACUCACAGAAUGAGAAAUAAUACUGUAUUUUAACCUGCAGAGGUCACUAAAACACUACAAAAUCUCCAGAGCAUCAUCAUUCUGGCUCCCCACAGAGAGAGAGAAUUUUAGCUGAUAGAGCAGCUGCUGUUUUCGGGACUUGGAGGAAACACUGGAGGGGGAAGAGGGCUAGUGCCCUCAUCAGGCUACAAGAGCAGGCUCACUGAAUGUCACUGUUCUCUGCACUUCCAUCUCUGUCUGGCUUGGCUCAGCAA
Molecule: long non-coding RNA, 1873 nt
Organism: Monopterus albus (swamp eel)
Lineage: Eukaryota; Metazoa; Chordata; Actinopteri; Synbranchiformes; Synbranchidae
Exons: 5
Source: RefSeq, a predicted model, not a curated record